Molecule: ribosomal RNA, 374 nt
Filed under: uncultured organism
Description: partial 16S ribosomal RNA
Rfam family: Bacterial small subunit ribosomal RNA
Source: RNAcentral
GUAGGUGGCAAGCGUUGUCCGGAAUUAUUGGGCGUAAAGCGCGCGCAGGCGGUUCUUUAAGUCUGAUGUGAAAGCCCACGGCUCAACCGUGGAGGGUCAUUGGAAACUGGAGAACUUGAGUACAGAAGGGGAAAGCGGAAUUCCACGUGUAGCGGUGAAAUGCGUAGAGAUGUGGAGGAACACCAGUGGCGAAGGCGGCUUUCUGGUCUGUAACUGACGCUGAGGCGCGAAAGCGUGGGGAGCAAACAGGGAUUAGAUACCCUGGUAGUCCACGCCGUAAACGAUGAGUGCUAAGUGUUAGGGGGGUUUCCGCCCCCUUAGUGCUGCAGCUAGCGCAUUAAGCACUCCGCCCUGGGAGUACGGCCGCAAGGCUG